CCGAAACUUGAACUGGCGCUUGACGCCUGACGCCUCGCCCUUGGAGGUUCGCCCUUCGCCGGAGCUUCACCUCUUCACACACAGCGCCAAAAUGAAUAAACAGCUGUCUACCACCACGGCGGCGGCGCUUGUAGGUGGCACCAGGGACGCAGGAUGAACAUGCUGCAUUUCUCAAGAUUCACCAGCGUUUACUCAUGCUAAAGCUCAUAGGACUGUAGAUCUUAACAUCCCUAUGAGGGAGAGGACAAAGGAAACCACUCUGUCUAAGAAAAGCAGACACUAAGAUGCAGCACAGAAGAAAGCAGUCCUGGAAGUCCUCUUUCAUGUCUUUAGUUGGAUCUCAUGGCUGCCUUGACAUCCUGAAUUGAUUCAAAAUGUUCAUCUUUCAUGCACACUUUGAUUAUGGAGAAGAACCAGAAGUUGUAUGGUGCCAGACCCUGUGAAUGAGGUGGAUGAGGACACAUCUCAAUGUUUUCAGCAGCCUGACUUUCCAUUGGGUGGCACUUGGCAGCAGCAUUCACCAUAUAUUUUAUGACAUCUUGUAAAAACAAUCUCAGAAGAGGUGUUCCAGAACUGCUUCAGAAAGUGGCAAGAAUGAUGGGACACGUGUUCAAAGUGAGGGAGUGUAUCUUUGAGG
Molecule: long non-coding RNA, 637 nt
Organism: Heterocephalus glaber (naked mole-rat)
Lineage: Eukaryota; Metazoa; Chordata; Mammalia; Rodentia; Bathyergidae
Source: Ensembl